CAGCAGCCGCGGGAAUACCAGCAGCCCAAGUGGUGGUCGCGAUUAUUGGGCCUAAAGCGCUCGUAGCCGGGCCGGUAAGUCCCUUGUGAAAUCGGACGGCCUAACCGUUCGGCGUGCAAGGGAUACUGUCGGUCUUGAGGCCGGGAGACGUCCGAGGUACUCCGCGUGUAGCAGUGAAAUGCGUAGAUAUGCGGAGGAACACCGAUGGCGAAGGCAAUCCCCUGGACCUGUACUGACGCUCAUGCACGAAAGCGUGGGGAGCAAACAGGAUUAGAUACCCCCGUAGUCUCUGUCUCUUAUU
RNAcentral lists this ribosomal RNA (301 nucleotides) under uncultured bacterium. RNAcentral's name for it is "partial 16S ribosomal RNA". It matches the Rfam family "Bacterial small subunit ribosomal RNA", at positions 509 to 808 of the family's 1533-position model. The record is from RNAcentral.